This is an RNA transcript of Glycine soja, 1469 nucleotides long. RefSeq lists it as uncharacterized. Lineage: Eukaryota; Viridiplantae; Streptophyta; Magnoliopsida; Fabales; Fabaceae. The record is from RefSeq and is a predicted model, not a curated record. The transcript is spliced from 5 exons.
AGUGAUAUUUUUUGUAAUUAUUUGCAUGGAUAAGUUUUGUAUGACUCUGUCAUUCUAAGGACGGUUAUAUGGACCGAUCGUAAAUCGGUUCUUAGUGGCAAUCUCAUAAUUAUUUUUGGGAAAAAUGAAGACGGUCUUCUGCACCAGACCGUCGUUGUUUUCUUAACGCGCGCACCCUAGGUCGUACCUAUCUCCCAUUUACCAUCGUCUCUUCUUACUCCCCUCCCGAGUACUGCGUUAAGCAUUCCUUCUUACUACCCUCGCUCGUGUUGGGAAGGUUGUUUUGUGACCUAGAGAAGUCUCCUGCCUCAUUCGUCGCUACUCGGUGCGUGGGUAUCGCCAUAGAGGUACCUACAUGAACUUUGUUCAUCAUCUUUUCUUCAUAAGAAUAUAAAGUCAGCCUACAUAUUGGUUCAUACAGAUUUGAAUCCUCAUCUUUCUGACAGUGGAUUGACAAGGUUUUGAAGGCUGACUGUUGGGUUGGUAUUCAUAGUUUCUUAGUUGCCAAAGUCAGACUGCAAAGGGAAUCAGAGGGGACAACCACCAAGAAGUAGGAGCACUUACAAAGGACCAGUAGAACCAACGAGAAUACAGGCACGUGAGAGGCCAAGGAGUGCGGGUAGUAUGUCAAUAGACAUUAACAUUGAUGUACACACUCAUCCACGACAUUGGUCAAUUGGAUGAAAUAGAAAUUGUAGGGCUUGUGACAAUGGAUGUGACUAAGCAAGAUUCUAUUCCACAUGUAUCAGAUUCCUUUGGGACAUCAGGUCCUCAAUCCUCAGUAAGUGUAACAGAAAAGCUUAUCGUGGCCAUGCCAAGUGAUAUAUGGUCAGUGGUAUAUAUAUUAAACCCAUUAUAGUUAGCUGAAUUUGAAUGUAUUUCUUGUAAUUAGUUUUGCCUGAAUGGAACUCUGACCUUAUGUAAUCAAAAAGGGAAUGUGGUGCUCUUCCAAAACUUGGCAAUGCUCAUGCACUUUUCAACAAGGCUCUUUUUUGGCAAAAUGAAGGUAUGGGAUUCUCUAAAACUUCUUCUGUGGGCGGGCAAAUUUUAUGGAGUGCUGUCAACUUCUUCCUUUGGAAAAAGAGAAAUAAAGUUGUCUUCAAUAAUGCCGUGCCUGAUAGGAAUUGUGUUUUUACGGCCUGAUCCCUCCUUUCAAGUCUCUUUCGUCCAAUACUCAGGCUUCUCUGAGUUCUGACAGUGUUAUGUGGUUCUCAUGCAGCAAUUUUGCAUACAGUAGCUGGCCACUCUAUUUUUACACUGGCGGUGACAAGCUAUCAUCACUGUUAGUGUAGUGUAGUAGGAUAUCUUGGUGGGGAAUGUCGUUAUGGAGGAGGGGUACUAGGUAGUCAAUUAAGCUUGGUGGUUAUUUUAAUAUCAACAUAAAGUUACUUGUGGAUUUUCUUACAGAAUAAAAUUCGUAGGUAAUUUUCUGUGAAUUUUCUUGUUGAAUAAAAUCUUUAGGGAAUUUA